Molecule: unclassified non-coding RNA, 704 nt
Filed under: Hevea brasiliensis (rubber tree)
Lineage: Eukaryota; Viridiplantae; Streptophyta; Magnoliopsida; Malpighiales; Euphorbiaceae
Source: RNAcentral
GCACAUGACCUGCCCAUACAACCAAACUCGUAACGCAAGUUUCACAAGAAGAAAACAGAAUUCAUUCCAGUUACUCACAAUAAGAAAAAAAUCAACUUUCUACAUAAAAAAUUGUACCCUCUAAUAUAAUCUCACCAAUCCUUUUGAUAAUGUCUUAAUUGAUUUCCGCCUGUCAUAGGCAAAUAUCAACUCAAAAUGGAAGGAAAGAAGCAUAUAACAUGAUAAUGGAAGAAAUUUUCCGAAAACUACCAUGAAUGAUGGUAAUAAUGGGAAGAAAUAAAAGCCAAAAUUGGAUAAAAGCUUACAACUUAAGAAAUUAUUUGGUUUUGAGGAAACCAACAAAAAAUACAAGAAAAGCAAAGAUUGCAUAUGACAUGAUCAAUUUAUUUUCUUCAUUUUAAUACAAGUACUAAACUAUCAUUUUUCAAAUCGUUGCCAUUUCAGUCUAAUACAUACAAACUUUCAUAGUCAUUAACUAGCACUACUUCCAUGACUUCACCCAUCUUCUUAUGUCAUACCAAGUCACUGCAGGUACAAAAUGAAUAAACCUCAUUAAUUUUUGGAAGUUUUUCUUUAAUUAUCCAAAAUUCCGUACUCUUGUCCAAUACCAUAACUAUUUAGAAAAGCAUUGCAGUGAAAUUCAUUACUCAAAUCAAUCUUUACUCUCACAAUUUCAAUUUCAAUUUCAAUUUCAAUUUCAAUUU